Molecule: long non-coding RNA, 534 nt
Filed under: Bos taurus (domestic cattle)
Lineage: Eukaryota; Metazoa; Chordata; Mammalia; Artiodactyla; Bovidae
Description: long non-coding RNA NONBTAT011533
Source: RNAcentral
CAGGGUUCAGAGUGUAAUGUAUAGAAAAAGAGUGUUUCGAAGCCAUUGACAGUUUUUUUUUUAUUUUAAUUUGUGCUUCUUUCUCCUACCACAUGACUGUAAGUCAAAGAUGUGGAAACCUGAAAUUAUAAUGCUGCUCCUAGCUACUGGCCUCCUGCCCCACUGAUGGUUCAUUGGCCCAGCUUAAUGCCUGGUGGUUGAUGAGUAUUAUGUCCAGAAAAAGAGAUGUUUGGAUUCCAUGACAAAGCUGCGUUUUAUAAAUAUAUCGGAGACCCCCCAAAAUGAACUUCAUGCUGACCAUUUCCUUCUCCUCUCUGUGCUCUUCCUUACAAAGCCCUUCAAGUAUCCCUUGUCCACCCCUCCUGCACCUCUUGUGCCCUUUUUACAUCUUUGAUUGCCUGACGAUAACAGGGUAAAAAAGACAGCCAACCUCACGCAUGAUUAGUAGAACUGAUUCCUAUGUUAAAAAAAAAAUCUUUGAAUCUAGAAGCCAGAGAAGAUUUUUUUUUAAGGACUUCAGUUUGGGAUAAGCUU